UUUCCGUAGGUGAACCUGCGGAAGGAUCAUUAACGAAUGUCUUUUGACAAACACCUGUGAACUAAUAUCUUGCUUCGGUUGGCGCAAGCCAGCCGGUAUCAAAACCUUUUAAUUUGUUGUCUGACUGAAGAUUAAUAAUCAAAACUUUCAACAACGGAUCUCUUGGUUCUCGCAUCGAUGAGGAACGCAGC
This 191-nucleotide unclassified non-coding RNA is filed under the name plant metagenome. RNAcentral's name for it is "partial contains small subunit ribosomal RNA, internal transcribed spacer 1, and 5.8S ribosomal RNA". The stretch from base 143 to 191 matches the Rfam family "5.8S ribosomal RNA", at positions 1 to 49 of the family's 154-position model. The record is from RNAcentral.